GAUGAACGCUGACAGAAUGCUUAACACAUGCAAGUCAACUUGAACUUCGGUUUGGGUGGCGGACGGGUGAGUCACGCGUAAAGAACUUGCCUCACAGCUAGGGACAACAUUUGGAAACGAAUGCUAAUACCUGAUAUUAUGAUUAUAUGGCAUCGUAUAAUUAUGAAAGCUAUAUGCGCUGUGAGAGAGCUUUGCGUCCCAUUAGCUAGUUGGAGAGGUAACAGCUCACCAAGGCGAUGAUGGGUAGCCGGCCUGAGAGGGUGAUCGGCCACAAGGGGACUGAGACACGGCCCUUACUCCUACGGGAGGCAGCAGUGGGGAAUAUUGGACAAUGGACCGAGAGUCUGAUCCAGCAAUUCUGUGUGCACGAUGAAGUUUUUCGGAAUGUAAAGUGCUUUCAGUUGGGAAGAAGAAAAUGACGGUACCAACAGAAGAAGUGACGGCUAAAUACGUG
This 454-nucleotide ribosomal RNA is filed under the name uncultured bacterium. Its description in RNAcentral is "partial 16S ribosomal RNA". It matches the Rfam family "Bacterial small subunit ribosomal RNA", at positions 28 to 507 of the family's 1533-position model. The record is from RNAcentral.